This 440-nucleotide ribosomal RNA is filed under the name uncultured bacterium. Its description in RNAcentral is "partial 16S ribosomal RNA". It matches the Rfam family "Bacterial small subunit ribosomal RNA", at positions 338 to 795 of the family's 1533-position model. The record is from RNAcentral.
CCUACGGGAGGCUGCAGUAGGGAAUAUUGCUCAAUGGGGGAAACCCUGAAGCAGCAACGCCGCGUGGAGGAUGAAGGUUUUCGGAUUGUAAACUCCUUUUGUUAGAGAAGAUAAUGACGGUAUCUAACGAAUAAGCCCCGGCUAACUCCGUGCCAGCAGCCGCGGUAAUACGGAGGGUGCAAGCGUUACGCGGAAUCACUGGGCGUAAAGAGCGCGUAGGCGGGAUAGCAAGUCAGAUGUGAAAUCCUAGGGCUUAACCAUAGAACUGCAUUUGAAACUGUUAUUCUAGAGUAUGGGAGAGGUAGGUGGAAUUCUUGGUGUAGGGGUAAAAUCCGUAGAGAUCAAGAGGAAUACUCAUUGCGAAGGCGACCUGCUAGAACAUAACUGACGCUGAUGCGCGAAAGCGUGGGGAGCAAACAGGAUUAGAUACCCUAGUAGUC